Molecule: ribosomal RNA, 220 nt
Filed under: Mantidactylus catalai
Lineage: Eukaryota; Metazoa; Chordata; Amphibia; Anura; Mantellidae
Description: partial 16S ribosomal RNA
Source: RNAcentral
CAACGGCAUCACGAGGGUUCCACUGUCUCCUUUAUCUAAUCAGUGAAACUAAUCUCCCCGUGAAGAAGCGAGGAUACUCUUAUAAGACGAGAAGACCCCAUGGAGCUUUAAACCCAAUUAUAUCUCUAACCACUAUAACCAUUUAAUCACUUAGAACUUAUAUACUUGGUUUUAGGUUGGGGCGACCACGGAGCACAACCAAACCUCCACGAUGAACGGA